CAAAUGAAGUUGACGGGGCCCGCACAAGCGGUGGAGCAUGUGGUUUAAUUCGAUGAUACGCGAGGAACCUUACCUGGGCUCAAAUGUAUGUUGACGUAUUCUGAAAGGGAUACUUCUUCGGACAAUAUACAAGGUGCUGCAUGGUUGUCGUCAGCUCGUGCCGUGAGGUGUCGGGUUAAGUCCCAUAACGAGCGCAACCCCUAUCAUUAGUUGCCAUCAGGUCAAGCUGGGGACUCUAAUGAAACUGCCUACGCAAGUAGUGAGGAAGGUGGGGAUGACGUCAAAUCAGCACGGCCCUUACGUCCAGGGCUACACACGUGCUACAAUGGCCGGUACAAAGGGCAGCUACCUGGUGACAGGAUGCUAAUCUCAAAAGCCGGUCUCAGUUCGGAUCGGAGUCUGCAACUCGACUUCAUGAAGCUGGAAUCGCUAGUAAUCGUGGAUCAGCCAAGCCGCGGUGAAUACGUUCCCGGGCCUU
Molecule: ribosomal RNA, 478 nt
Filed under: uncultured Sphingobacteriales bacterium
Lineage: Bacteria; Pseudomonadati; Bacteroidota; Sphingobacteriia; Sphingobacteriales
Description: bacterial SSU rRNA
Rfam family: Bacterial small subunit ribosomal RNA
Source: RNAcentral